Molecule: ribosomal RNA, 253 nt
Filed under: uncultured bacterium
Lineage: Bacteria
Description: partial 16S ribosomal RNA
Rfam family: Bacterial small subunit ribosomal RNA
Source: RNAcentral
UACGGAAUGUGCAAACGUUAUUCGGAAUCACUGGGCUUAAAGAGUCCGUAGGCGGCAUGUUAGGUGAGGUGUGAAAUCCCCCGGCUCAACCGAGGAAUUGCGCUUCAAACCGGCGUGCUUGAGGAAGAUAGAGGUGGGCGGAACUGAUGGUGGAGCGGUGAAAUGCGUUGAUAUCAUCAAGAACACCGGAGGCGAAGGCGGCCCACUGGGUCUUUUCUGACGCUGAGGGACGAAAGCUAGGGGAGCGAACGGG